Molecule: ribosomal RNA, 492 nt
Filed under: uncultured bacterium
Lineage: Bacteria
Description: partial 16S ribosomal RNA
Rfam family: Bacterial small subunit ribosomal RNA
Source: RNAcentral
AGUGAACGCUGGCGGUAGGCCUAACACAUGCAAGUCGAACGGCAGCACAGUAAGAGCUUGCUCUUACGGGUGGCGAGUGGCGGACGGGUGAGGAAUACAUCGGAAUCUACUUUUUCGUGGGGGAUAACGUAGGGAAACUUACGCUAAUACCGCAUACGACCUACGGGUGAAGGCAGGGGAUCUUCGGACCUUGCGCGAUUGAAUGAGCCGAUGUCGGAUUAGCUAGUUGGCGGGGUAAAGGCCCACCAAGGCGACGAUCCGUAGCUGGUCUGAGAGGAUGAUCAGCCACACUGGAACUGAGACACGGUCCAGACUCCUACGGGAGGCAGCAGUGGGGAAUAUUGGACAAUGGGCGCAAGCCUGAUCCAGCCAUACCGCGUGGGUGAAGAAGGCCUUCGGGUUGUAAAGCCCUUUUGUUGGGAAAGAAAAGCAGCAGGUUAAUACCCCGAUGUUCUGACGGUACCCAAAGAAUAAGCACCGGCUAACUUCGUG